This is a long non-coding RNA of Tribolium castaneum (red flour beetle), 3289 nucleotides long. RefSeq lists it as uncharacterized. The transcript has 2 exons. The record is from RefSeq and is a predicted model, not a curated record. Lineage: Eukaryota; Metazoa; Arthropoda; Insecta; Coleoptera; Tenebrionidae.
AAUUUUCGAAAUUUUGUUUCAUAUACGUUCGUUGGAAUGUGUAAUAUAAAUUAAAAUAACUAUUAAAUAGCGGUGUAAAAGGUUAUUUUUUAUUCGCAAUUAAUUACUCUAUCGAUUUAAGCAAUUAAAAAUUAGUGUUAAGAGGGCAAAAAAUUAGAAAAACACAAAAAAUGUGACCCGGAAAUGCUGCAACCGGAAACUGGGUGGAUGUUUCGUAGUUACCAAAUUAAAAUGCAUGUUCUCUUUAGUAAGUCUACCAAGUUUUAUAAUAUUUGGUCAAAUAAUUCCAAACAUCUUUCCAUACCCCUACUUCCCAGAGCUGUAAAAUUCUUAUCAGUGUCGAUAGAACACGAGUUAUGAUCUCAAUUGGCAUCAUUUUAUAGGCCCUUUUUGAGAUUCAUUUAUUGUCUCAUAAAUACGAAUAACCCUGUUUAUUAGCCCAUCACAUUAGACAAAUCGGUGGAAAAAAUCCCUGGAGAGUUGGAGUUUUUUUUAAGUUGUUUUUUAAUUUGACAGAGCUAUAUUAGUUUUUUUCAAGUCCGUAUUCAUUAGGAUUCAUUUAGUUUAAAACGCCGCACCAAAUUUUAAUGUUUUAAUUUCUCUUGGAUUUUAGAAGGGGUUUGCAAGGUGAAAAAGGUUGGGAACCUCUGUUUUAAUGUGUUUUAAAGACUUCAGAAAACGAUUUAACGUGAUUUUUGGAGUGUUUUUGUAAUCAAACGUCUCUGCUUUUAUUUGAAACUUUUAUUUGAAUAUAGUGUAUAGUGUAAAUUGGCAGUUUUGAUUCAUUUAAUGAAGGAUGAAUCCACUUAAGGUAAACGUUAUUGAAAGGUGUUUGUACAACAAUUAAUUACGAUUUUCAGGUAUUGAUAUAAUCAUAUUACACCACGAAGGAUCUCACAAAUUCCUCUAAUAAGGAAAUUUCCGAAUGUUCUUGGAGAUGAUAAUGAUUCUUAGGAUGUAAAUGAAAAUCCCACGAAGAGGAGUUAAACGUGAUGUGCAGUAAUUAACAUACCACAAUAAUAAAUAAAUUUAUUGUAGUUGCAAAGUCAGUAUUUUAUAAAAGCAGGGAGUGUAGGACUUGCUAUGGUUCAAGGUUUUCAAAUUCGCCAUGUCCCUCUGUGUCUAUAUCUUUGAUGCAGACUAAUACACGAUGUUGAGCUUUUUAUUUAAAAUAAUCUUAGCACACUUUAGUAAAUCUCUGGUGUUUGCGUAAUUUACUAAUAACUAUGAUGCAAUCCUGAUUACUUUUAAAAAACUUAUAAAGAACUUCAACAUCAAACUACAGUCCGGGACAUUUCUAUUUGGACAUAAAAAAUUUGAAUUUUCUGACAUUUAUACGUGUAUUCAGCGUCUGUGUGAACAAAAAAUGUUCUCUCUCUCAUUCUAUGGUUCUUGAGCUUUAAUAACAGGGACAUUUUUUAAAUUGGUAGCAUUAGAAAAUGACAGUAAACAGCUGACUGAUGUAAACAAUAACACAAUAACAAAGGAAAUGUUAUAAUUUUAAUCUAUAUAACCAGUGGCUGCUUUAAAAGUGUGUACUAACGGGAUAAUAACAUAUUUACGCAAGUAUUUUUGAAGGCAGAAACAUUACUUGUCAUAUAACAACUACUCAGAUUAUAUGAUGAGACGGGAAUGGCACAAUACAGAAUUGCAGUCAGUGAUUGUGAUGGAGAAAGCUGCUGUGAAGUACUGACAGUACUGACUAUCGCUGGUUGUACGAUUUGUGCAAUUUGUGAUAUAUUUUGUGUGAAAAACUGGAAAAGAAAGUGCAUCACUGCAUAACCUCACUUAUCGCAGUUUUGCACUUUUUGAUGAUGGGAAUUGCGGUUCAAGUAAUUAUGAGUUAUAGAUGGAGAGCCCUGUUUACUUCAAACUGAAGCCUUUUGGGUCCACUUUGUUCGUUAUUUCCUGGCAGCCACUCUUGUUUCAAGCAGAGUGGGUGUAAAGUUAAAAAUAAUCCCGUAAAAUUGUUAAUAUAACUCCUUUGCACUGGCAUGGGGUAUUUGAAAACUUACGUUUAACAAAUACGUCACAAAGUCUCAGCCAUCGUUGAAAAACAUAAUAAGGGCUUUAUAACAAGAAGCGCUUUCUGAUUUUACUGUGGACGUGUGGAAGAAUAGUGUGAAAUAUUGCGAAAAACCAACUUUUACUCUUGUUUACAUUUUUGUACGUCUCUAUCUGAGAGUAGUCUCUUGUAUAAAAAAUAUAGCCUACUAAUAAAGGAAAUUAAAGUGUUUUUAUUUCUGGGUUGCCCCCAAUUCCACUUCGCCCUUGCCUGAUAAUCAAGACACUGAUAAUGAAAUUGGUGUUAGUGCAUCGAAUACAAACGUGUUGAAUAGAUGAAUAAAAGAGAGACAACUGCUUUUUUCAAAAAGGCCAUUUCAAAUUUAUUCAAAAAGCACACCCCCAUUGAAAAGGGUCCAUUCACGAUGAAGUUUGGCUUCCUGCAUGACAUAGGUCUCGGGCACCAAUCUCACUGUAAAUGGUCUAAAUUGGUCUUGCAUCUCUAAGACAUGGACUCACUGAGAGCGACUUCUGCAGUAGGCUUGAGACCUGCCUGCCUGUCUCGCAACAAUCUCUGCAUUAUGAUUCCAAAUCAUUCUAUAAAACGCUGUCAAUUACAAGCCAUGAUAUGAGGCAUGAGGCCGUCUCAGUGUAUGUCUUGUGGUGUACAUUGAAACUGUUUCUUAAAGAACCCAUUCACAAUGAGAUCUGCUUCGCUACAUGCGGCGCGACAGGACUCAAAGACUAAUCCUCAAAGACACAAAAAAACUGACACAGUUUAUCAUUUUAAGCCAUUGACAGCGUUUUCGAAUGUUGGUGCAAAGACUUGUCGCGAGGCAGGUUUCAGUCUUCCGCCAACGUCAGUCUGAGUGAAACCCUCUCAAAGUGAUCUCAGCGAAAACCAUUCACAAUGAGAUUGACCUAUGAGGCCUAUGUCGUGCCGCAUGCAGCGAGAUAUGUCUCAUUGUUAAUGAAAAUAGGGCCUUUUUUGUUGUUUAAAGUCGUUUUUUAAAACUUUUGUGGCAAAUUUUACUGAUGUGGCAGAGAGGGGGCAUGCAAUUGGAACAUGACGAUGACUACCCUAAAAGGCACUUCGAGGCUUUUAUGGCCUUUUUAAUGCAAAUUUCAACUUUAAACCUGACAGUCAUACCAAGGUCAAACAUAACCUCAACAGUAAUCCAGCAACGGUACUUCAAAGCAUUUGAAAGUUUCUCCAUUUGUUUUUAAGUGUUCUAGUUGGUACAUUUUGCUGUACUUUACUACAAUAAAGAAAUAUUUAAAUUUU